UUCUUCCCUUUAAUAAAAGGAAUCAAAUUAACUUCUCUUUCUUAUCUCCUCACGCUCACAUACAUCUACAUUCUCUCUCUGCGUUCCUUCUCUCUCUCUCUCAACUCUGUCGUCCUCUUUCUCUCUCCCUGUCUCCGGUGAGCGUCGCCGGCCUUCGCCGCCUCCGGCGCGGCGAGGUCGGCCUCUCCUCUCCCCCCUUCCUUUCUCUCCAUUUCUCCUUUCCCUAUGUUUCAAUCCCCAAAUUAUAAAAUCAAAAUCCUAGGGUUUCUACCUCUCUUCAUCCCCUCUGGAAUUCGUCUCUCCGGCGAAGCCUGCCGCCCCGCCGUCGUCUCUGUCACACCGCCACCUCUUCUGACUCAGGUAAGUCCCUGUCUCUCUCUCUACUUCUAUCUCUGCUCUCUCCCUCAAACUCCAUCUCUCUCUGCCCUUUCUCGAUCUCUCGCUCUCUCUCUUUCUCUGUCCAGGGCGCGGCGGCCGCCGCAAGCUACGACGGCGCUUGCAGCGCCGGCGCUCGCCGCCGCCUGCCCCGCUCCUCUCUCCCUCUACCUCGUUCUGCCUUUCUCACUCUCUUCCUGCUGUCUGUCUCUAUCUCACACUCUAUCUCACUAUCUCUUGCUCAAUCUCCCUCUCUCUUCUACUGCAGCAGCCACCGCGGCUGCCGUGGCUCAGGCAGCGCCGAUGGUCGCCGCCACCAGCCGCUCCUCCGUCGCGGUGGUUCGCGGCCUGCCGCUGCUAACCUCUCCUUUCCCUUUCUCUAUUUCAAUCACCAGUUCAAAAUCUAAUUCCAG
RNAcentral lists this long non-coding RNA (788 nucleotides) under Salvia miltiorrhiza (redroot sage). RNAcentral describes it as "long non-coding RNA (SMIL_LNC010544)". The record is from RNAcentral. Lineage: Eukaryota; Viridiplantae; Streptophyta; Magnoliopsida; Lamiales; Lamiaceae.